CCUACGGGCUGCUGCAGUGGGGGAUAUUGCACAAUGGGGGGAACCCUGAUGCAGCGACGCCGCGUGGGUGAAGAAGCGCCUCGGCGCGUAAAGCCCUGUCAGCAGGGAAGAAAAUGACGGUACCUGAAGAAGAAGCCCCGGCUAACUACGUGCCAGCAGCCGCGGUAAUACGUAGGGGGCAAGCGUUAUCCGGAUUUACUGGGUGUAAAGGGGGCGCAGACGGCGAGGCAAGCCAGGAGUGAAAGCCCGGGGCCCAACCCCGGGACUGCUCUUGGAACUGCGUGGCUAGAGUGCAGGAGGGGCAGGCGGAAUUCCUGGUGUAGCGGUGAAAUGCGUAGAUAUCAGGAGGAACACCGGUGGCGAAGGCGGCCUGCUGGACUGCAACUGACGUUGAGGCCCGAAAGCGUGGGGAGCAAACAGGAUUAGAUACCCCAGUAGUC
Molecule: ribosomal RNA, 440 nt
Filed under: uncultured bacterium
Lineage: Bacteria
Description: partial 16S ribosomal RNA
Rfam family: Bacterial small subunit ribosomal RNA
Source: RNAcentral